CUUCUGCCCUGUUCUGUCACCAGAGUGGCAUUGUGACAUUCCCAGGUGACUGAAGAGCUGGCAGUAGGGGCAGGUGUCUCAGCCGGCAGCAUCCAGCCUGCUGAUGAGCACGCCAGCCACUGUCCGCUGCUUCCCAGAGAACUGCCCUCGAAAGUCUUGGAGCCCCUGGGGGGCCCGGCCGAGGAAAUGUUGAGACCGAGCUUGCAGAACAUACCCCAGGUUCACACUGGACACACUGCGGAAAAGACGCACCAACAUGUGACUUCUCCGGGGCCGCCUGGCUUCUCCUAAGCUCUGUCCGCCUUUGGCCACCAGAACGGUGAGUGUGCAAAUACACUUGCCACGGGUCCUCCUCGGGGGUGGCCACGAGAAACAGACAGACACGCCUGCCUUCUCGAUGUCCCGUCUGCAAGCGGCUGCUUUUGAGAUGCUCCAUCCAUCCUCCUGCCUGCAUCCCGGCCUGGGCCGCCCUGAGGGCCCACCUCCCGAGUGCUCCUGGUGUGCAGCUGUUGGGGGACCCGGCCCAGCACCCACUGGUGGUGGUGUCGAUUCAGCACGGCCCUUGGACAUGUGGCAUGUCUGGGGGCCCAGCCUAAAGCCGUCCCCGUCACCUCCUUGUGGGAAGCCAGCCACCACCAUUCUGGCCUGAACCCCCAGCCUGGAGACGGCCCCUCGGCCAGCCCAUCCUCAGGAGCAGCCAGCUCCACUGGGACCUCUGGGAAUGCUGAGAGCCCACCCCCACCGCAGUGUGCCCUUGCCCUCCCUGCAGGCUGCCAGGGGCACGCCCCCUGUGCCAUGGACUGAGACCCUCUGGGUGACAGUGACCUGUUGGUUGGAAAUGCCUCUUGUUACGAGAGAAGCUCCCGGGCAUCUCGGAACCAAACUAUUUAGUUCCAUUGUGAACUGCCCACAGGACAACUUGUCUUAUCAACUUAUUAAGUUGGAGCACUAUAAUAGGUCUUGCUGAUUUUAGCAACGAUGUAAGUGUGUGUUAAACACAAUGUUUAAUGAGGAAGAAGGAUUAUAAAGAAGAGCGCUAUCGCACAGUAGUGAAUUUUUGUAUUAGGUGGCACAAGUGGCCUGGUGUGUGUGUCUGUCCGCAGUCUGGUCCUAACGUGCUCUUCAGUAGCCCUUGGCCGCAUGACGUGCUGUCGCUUCACCUCCAUUGUGCACACAGCCCCGUCUGUAGUGCUCUCGUCUCCACCACUCGUAGACCAGCCUGGGUUUGGACCAGGACCUCCCCAUGUCUGUUGUGCUCUGUUACCCUGCAGUUGAAUCUUAAUAAACCUUUCCUUACCAGAUGA
This 1304-nucleotide long non-coding RNA is filed under the name Equus asinus (donkey). RNAcentral's name for it is "lncRNA (ENSEASG00005031820.1)". Lineage: Eukaryota; Metazoa; Chordata; Mammalia; Perissodactyla; Equidae. The record is from RNAcentral.